UACGAAGGGGGCUAGCGUUGCUCGGAAUCACUGGGCGUAAAGCGCACGUAGGCGGGUUCUUAAGUCAGGGGUGAAAUCCUGGAGCUCAACUCCAGAACUGCCUUUGAUACUGGGAAUCUCGAGUCCGGGAGAGGUGAGUGGAACUGCGAGUGUAGAGGUGAAAUUCGUAGAUAUUCGCAAGAACACCAGUGGCGAAGGCGGCUCACUGGCCCGGUACUGACGCUGAAGUGCGAAAGCGUGGGGAGCAAACAGG
RNAcentral lists this ribosomal RNA (253 nucleotides) under uncultured bacterium. RNAcentral's name for it is "partial 16S ribosomal RNA". It matches the Rfam family "Bacterial small subunit ribosomal RNA", at positions 524 to 776 of the family's 1533-position model. The record is from RNAcentral.